Molecule: ribosomal RNA, 265 nt
Filed under: Rhipicephalus sanguineus (brown dog tick)
Lineage: Eukaryota; Metazoa; Arthropoda; Arachnida; Ixodida; Ixodidae
Description: partial 12S ribosomal RNA
Source: RNAcentral
UACGAAAGCAAAAAAUUAUGGCGGUAUUUUAAGCUUUUCAGAGGAAUUUGCUCUUUAAUGGAUAAAACACCUAAAUCUUACUUAAAUUUGUAAAUUCAAUUUGUAUACCACUAUAAAAACAAUUAAUAACUUCAAUUGUUAAAAUUUAUUAAAUUAAGUUAUAUUAAGUCAAGGUGCAGUAAAAAUUUAAGAAUGAAGUGAAUUACAUUUCUUUUUAGAGAGAGAAAUUUAAAUAACAUUUAGGAUUUGAAAGUAAAAUUGAAAU